GUGCCCCUCAACUAAUGGAAAUCUGGGCCUUGCCACAACUACCAUGCCUUACCCUUAAAGAGGAUGCACCCCAAAAAGCAAGUACAGAAACUUCCCCUUCCCUGAAGAAUUCAUACUCUAAAUCUCAAAGGACAUAACACAUGAAGGUCAGACAGUCUGGUGUCUGCAGCCACAGUUGGAUCCUCUCAGCCAGAGGUGACUUUAGCAGGUUGCAGAGCCUAAGACAAAU
RNAcentral lists this long non-coding RNA (229 nucleotides) under Crocodylus porosus (Australian saltwater crocodile). RNAcentral's name for it is "lncRNA (ENSCPRG00005017306.1)". Lineage: Eukaryota; Metazoa; Chordata; Crocodylia; Crocodylidae. The record is from RNAcentral.